CUUGACCUUAGACUUCUAAGUCUCCAGGACUGCAAGUCGACAAAUUUCUUAUGUUCAAGCCACUCAGUCUAUGUUGUUUUGUCAUGGCGGCCCUCGCUGACUAACACAAACUCUUUCUAGCAACCUUGUGAUAUGCUUGGAUUUUCCACAAAGUAUGAAGGAGGAUGGAGCGAGAAUGUCCAAGGAGGAGGAGAGCUCAUUGCGUUUCAGCUGUCCUCGCCUUUGGCCCCAUCCUGUGGUCAU
Molecule: long non-coding RNA, 243 nt
Organism: Cervus elaphus (red deer)
Lineage: Eukaryota; Metazoa; Chordata; Mammalia; Artiodactyla; Cervidae
Exons: 3
Source: RefSeq, a predicted model, not a curated record